RNAcentral lists this ribosomal RNA (1140 nucleotides) under Triticum aestivum (bread wheat). RNAcentral describes it as "partial small subunit ribosomal RNA". The record is from RNAcentral. Lineage: Eukaryota; Viridiplantae; Streptophyta; Magnoliopsida; Poales; Poaceae.
AUGCCGAAGAUGGAUUUCCCUCGCUUUGAAGGGGAAGAUGUCCGCAUUUGGCUUGAUGGGUGUGAGGCGUAUUUUUCUCUGUAUGCUAUUCCUGAGGAAUUCAAGGUCACUUCAGCUACAUUGCAUCUAUCAGGUGAUGCAGCCAAUUGGUUUCAUGCUUACAAGGCCUUGCAUCAAUGGCCGUGCUGGAAUGAGUUUCGGGUGGCUGUCAUGCAGGAGUUUGAUUUGAAUGUCCAUCGCACAAAGAUGCGAGCUCUUCUGUUACUCAAGCAAUCUGGAUCAGUAGCAGAGUACAAAAGGGAGUUCACCCAGUUGGUGUAUCAACUUCUGUUAUAUGAACCGACAGUGAGUGACACAUUCCUGGUGACAUGGUUCAUCUUAGGCCUCAAAGAGGAACUCCGGGCUGCUGCGGAUAUGCAGAUACCAGCCAACGUCAGUGAAGCAGCGUCGUAUGCACUUAUCCAGGAAGAGAUUGUCCAACGUGCUUGCUCCAAUAGAAGUGUUGGCAACAGACAUGCAUUCUUCAAGCCUGACACUCGUCUAAACACACCACCUACUAGAGAGUUGUGGAAGGCAAGACAACUGAAGGAGUAUAGGCGCACUAAUGGCCUGUGUUUCAGUUGCGGUGAAAAAUACACACCGGGUCAUAUUUGUGUGAAGCCACCUACUCCUACUGCAGUCAUGGCCAUGACUAGUGCAGCUGAAGCCAUUUUGUCGGAUGAAAUACUUGAUGCAGUAGAAGAACAAGAAACUGCUUUGCAAGAAAUGCACUUGUCUGUCAAUGCCUUGUCUGGAGCUGAUCACCCUAGAACCAUUCGCUUGCGAGCUCUUAUUGGCAACCAGGUGGUGUUAAUCCUUUUGGACUCGGGCAGCACCCAUAGUUUCAUGGACUCAGCUCUGCUGCCUAGAAUUCAAGUGACACCUCAGCCACUCCCAAAAGAAAUGUCAGUCACAGUAGCUAAUGGGGAGAAACUAGUAUGCAAUUCAGAGGUACCACAGCUAAAUUGGUGGAUACAAGGGCAGAGAUUUGAAUACGACUUAAAGGUCAUUGACUUGGGAGGCUAUGAUCUCAUUUUGGGCAUGGAUUGGUUGGAGGCUCAAGGGAAAAUGAUUUGUCACUGGAAAAACAAAUGGAUAUAG